GACGAACGCUGGCGGCGUGCUUAACACAUGCAAGUCGAACGGAAAGGCCCUGCUUUUGUGGGGUGCUCGAGUGGCGAACGGGUGAGUAACACGUGAGUAACCUGCCCUUGACUUUGGGAUAACUUCAGGAAACUGGGGCUAAUACCGGAUAGGAGCUCCUGCUGCAUGGUGGGGGUUGGAAAGUUUCGGCGGUUGGGGAUGGACUCGCGGCUUAUCAGCUUGUUGGUGGGGUAGUGGCUUACCAAGGCUUUGACGGGUAGCCGGCCUGAGAGGGUGACCGGCCACAUUGGGACUGAGAUACGGCCCAGACUCCUACGGGAGGCAGCAGGGGGGAAUAUUGCACAAUGGGCGGAAGCCUGAUGCAGCAACGCCGCGUUCGGGAUGACGGCCCUCGGGUUGUAAACCGCUUUCGCCUGGGACGAAGCGUGAGUGACGGUAAUGGGUAAAGAAGCACCGGCUAACUACGGG
RNAcentral lists this ribosomal RNA (468 nucleotides) under uncultured bacterium. Its description in RNAcentral is "partial 16S ribosomal RNA". It matches the Rfam family "Bacterial small subunit ribosomal RNA", at positions 28 to 507 of the family's 1533-position model. The record is from RNAcentral.